Long non-coding RNA from Oncorhynchus nerka (sockeye salmon), 770 nucleotides. RefSeq lists it as uncharacterized. The transcript is spliced from 2 exons. The record is from RefSeq and is a predicted model, not a curated record. Lineage: Eukaryota; Metazoa; Chordata; Actinopteri; Salmoniformes; Salmonidae.
CGUACGUUUUCUGGCAGCUUUAUUUCCUAAAAUAAGUUUGAGGGAAGGGAGUAAAGAAGAAAAAAAAAAAGGAUUAACAGACGUUGAACUGACCCAACUGUUGCUCUUGGACCGUGAACGCACAGGCCUGCAAGAUUUUUGCCAUCAUUCAAAGUGACAACCACGUAACUGGGUUGUGCCAAAUUCACCAUGACCCGCGAUGGUAUUACAUGCGACCCCCAGAAUCCGGUGGUCAUGGAGGAAAUGGGAGAAACACUGUUUGUUGCUAUAGUCUUUCGCAGAGUUAACAUGUCAUUCCUGACGGGGCUGCCCUAGGCUCCGGGGCUGUAGCGUUCUCAGGGUUAGCGAUCUUUCUUGCGAGGCAGAGUUAGUAUAGGGAAGAGGUUUCCAGAAGAGUCGUGACAGGCUCACAAACUUAGGGGAGUUGGAGAAUUUGGCAGUAUGUCCAACCGGCCUCACAACUGCAGACCACGAGUAACCAUCCCAGGACCUCCACAUCCGGCUCAUUCACCUGCAGGAUGAGGCCAGCCACCCGGAUAGCUGAUGAAAUUGAGGAGUAUUUCUGUCUGUAAUAAAGCCCUUUGUGGGGAAAGACUCAUUCUGAUUGGCUGGGCCUGGCUCCCCAGUGGGUGGGCCUAUGCCCUCCCAGGCCCACCAAUGGCUGCGCCCCUGCCCAGUCAUGUGAAAUCAAUAGAUUAGGGCCUAAUGAAUUUAUUUCAUUUGACUGAUUUCCUUAUGAACUGUAACUCAAUAAAAUCAUUGAAAUUGUU